RNAcentral lists this ribosomal RNA (464 nucleotides) under uncultured bacterium. Its description in RNAcentral is "partial 16S ribosomal RNA". It matches the Rfam family "Bacterial small subunit ribosomal RNA", at positions 28 to 507 of the family's 1533-position model. The record is from RNAcentral.
GACGAACGCUGGCGGCGUGCCUAACACAUGCAAGUCGAGCGAAUGAAGUUCCUUCGGGACUGGAUUUAGCGGCGGACGGGUGAGUAACACGUGGGCAACCUGCCUCAUAGAGGGGAAUAGCCUUCCGAAAGGGAGAUUAAUACCGCAUAAGAUUGUAGUAUCGCAUGAUACAGCAAUUAAAGGAGCAAUCCGCUAUGAGAUGGGCCCGCGGCGCAUUAGCUAGUUGGUGAGGUAACGGCUCACCAAGGCGACGAUGCGUAGCCGACCUGAGAGGGUGAUCGGCCACAUUGGGACUGGGACACGGCCCAGACUCCUACGGGAGGCAGCAGUGGGGAAUAUUGCACAAUGGGGGAAACCCUGAUGCAGCAACGCCGCGUGAGUGAUGACGGCCUUCGGGUUGUAAAGCUCUGUCUUCAGGGACGAUAAUGACGGUACCUGAGGAGGAAGCCACGGCUAACUACGUG